UACGAAGGGGGCUAGCGUUGUUCGGAAUCACUGGGCGUAAAGCGCACGUAGGCGGAUUUUUAAGUCAGGGGUGAAAUCCCGAGGCUCAACCUCGGAACUGCCUUUGAUACUGGAGAUCUUGAGUCCGGAAGAGGUAAGUGGAACUGCGAGUGUAGAGGUGAAAUUCGUAGAUAUUCGCAAGAACACCAGUGGCGAAGGCGGCUUACUGGUCCGGAACUGACGCUGAGGUGCGAAAAGCGUGGGGGAGCAAACAGGG
RNAcentral lists this ribosomal RNA (256 nucleotides) under uncultured bacterium. Its description in RNAcentral is "partial 16S ribosomal RNA". It matches the Rfam family "Bacterial small subunit ribosomal RNA", at positions 524 to 777 of the family's 1533-position model. The record is from RNAcentral.